RNAcentral lists this ribosomal RNA (271 nucleotides) under uncultured bacterium. RNAcentral's name for it is "partial 16S ribosomal RNA". It matches the Rfam family "Bacterial small subunit ribosomal RNA", at positions 524 to 794 of the family's 1533-position model. The record is from RNAcentral.
UACGUAGGGUGCGAGCGUUGUCCGGAAUUAUUGGGCGUAAAGAGCUCGUAGGCGGUGUGUCACGUCGGCCGUGAAAAACCUGCAGCUUAACUGUGGGCUUGCGGUGGAUACGGGCAGACUUGAGUUCGGUAGGGGAGACUGGAAUUCCUGGUGUAGCGGUGAAAUGCGCAGAUAUCAGGAGGAACACCGGUGGCGAAGGCGGCUAUCUGGACGGUUUCUGACGCUAAGACGCGAAAGCGUGGGGAGCAAACAGGAUUAGAAACCCCAGUGC